UGGUAUGUACUGGUGUUAUUGGUUUCUCCUUUCUGAGGAGCCAUGAUGUCAUUAAUUUGGUGUCGUGGGGAAUCAGGACUGUUACUUUGAAAAAAUUAGAGUGUUUAAAGCAGGCACGCGCUUGAAUACAUUAGCAUGGAAUAAUGAAAUAGGACGUUCGAUUCUAUUUUGUUGGUUUCUAGGAUCAACGUAAUGAUUAAUAGGGAUAGUUGGGGGCAUUAGUAUUCAAUUGUCAGAGGUGAAAUUCUUGGAUUUAUUGAAGACUAACUACUGCUAAAGCAUUUGCCAAGGAUGUUUUCAUUAAUCUUUAACGAAAGUUAGGGGAUG
RNAcentral lists this ribosomal RNA (327 nucleotides) under uncultured Glomeromycotina. RNAcentral describes it as "SSU rRNA". It matches the Rfam family "Eukaryotic small subunit ribosomal RNA", at positions 671 to 999 of the family's 1831-position model. Lineage: Eukaryota; Fungi; Glomeromycota. The record is from RNAcentral.